UUUUUUUUUGUUUUUUAUGUUUUCUAUACUGGUUUUUCGUUUUUCUUUUCUUUUAAAUUUUUUCUUUCUUUUCUUAUUGUUUCUUUCAUUUUUCAUUUUUUUUUCUUUUUCUUUUUAUUUUCUAUUUUCUUCCCCUUCACUUUUUGACUAUUUUUUGCAAUUUUUAUUUUUGAAUUCGUUAACACCUUUUUUUCAUCGAAUUCUAAAAAUGUUCAACCACGUAAAAAAAUGUUCAACAAUCUAGAAAAUGUUCAUCGAAUUCAAUUUUUUUCAUCAAAUUUAAAAAAUGUUCAUAAAAGUUCAAAAUUUGUUCAUCGAACUAAAAAAAUGUUCAUCGGAUUCUUUUUUUGUUCAUUGUUUGCGAAAAAUGUUCAUCACAUUCAAAAUUUGUUCACUGAAUUACAAAUCUGUUCAUCAAAUUCAAAUUUUGUUCAUAAUUUUUUCAAAAACUGUUCUUCAAUACAAAUUUUGUUCAUCAAAUUAUUUUUUUUAUAAAAUGCCAAAUUUGUUUAUGGAUGUUCAAAAUAUGUUCAUCAAAUUCAAAAAAAUGUACAUUCCUUUGAAAUAACAAACAUUUUUUGAAUUCAAGAAUUUUUUGGAAUUUGGUGAACAUUUUUUAAUUCCGUCAGCAUUUAUCAUUUCGCGAACAUUUUUUUCAAAUCAUCAACAAUUUUCGAAUUCACCAACAUUUCACAAGUUGUAACUAUAUCGAAAUCCCGAAUUAGCCUUACAAUGGAAAACAAUUUAGAAAAGCAAAAAAAAAAAGAUGCUUCCGCUUUCCCUACCCACACAUGGGCCAGCCCAUGAGUCGGCGCGGGGGAGCGGGGGUUACGCGCUUCGUCGUUCGCUGGCGCGUACAACGCUAAAUGGGAGGUCUCGAUGUAGCAUCUCAUUGAAUCCCGGAUGCAUGGUCCGACCAUCUCUUCAAACCGAAAGCUGCUCAUAUGGUCCAUCAUCCUGGCGUCUGAAAUACUUUUGGAAAGACAAUUAUGGUUAGUUUUCGGAUAAGUACUCUCGAUAAUCUACAAAUAGGAGAUGUUUUAUUAUAUUUUGAUUACUUUUGGAUAGACAAUCAUUACUAUUAAUAUCAUCCUUCGUAUCUAGAUAAAGUAAGACAAUCUAUAAAUAGAAGAUUUUUUGUUCUGUUUUGAUUAAGUUUGGAUAGACAAUUAUUAUUAUUAGUAUUAGCCUUCGUAUCUAGAUAAAUAUAAGGCAAUCUAUAAAUAGAAGUUUUUUAUUCUGUUUUGACUACGUUUGGAUAAACAAUUAUUAUUAUUAGUAUCAUCCUUCGUAUCUAAAUAAAUAUAAGACAAUCUACAAACAGAAGAAUUUUCAUUCUGUAGACAAUUAUUAUUAUUAGUUCAGGAUAAAUACAUUUGAAAUGCCAUGUGAUAAAUGUGGUAAACGAUCGAUCCACACAUGAGGAAUAUAUCUGGACAUGUUUUAGUGUUAGAUACGUAAAUACCUUCGUAUUUAAUAAAUCUAAGCCAAUUUUUUGGGACGGAGGUAACAUAUAAAGAGGGGUCUCGCCCUCAUGGGCAGAGCAGCACGGAGAGCAAAGUUGGCUUCCCUAUGCAACAAUAACAAGGGUAGCUACCUCGCAAACCUGUGUGCACUCUGCAAGCAGUAGUCUCCACAAUGCUGGUUUGCUGUUGCUUUGUUGUGUCCCAGCUGCUCAUCGUAAUAACACUCAUAUACCUUGCCAUUACCAAGAGCAAGGUACGCUGUGGCACGUGCUCAUCGGCGACGGUGUCGCUUCCACUUCCGCCGGGGCCAUGGCCGUGGCCAGUGGUGGGUAGCCUGCCCGAGAUGGUGGUCAACAAGCCGGCGUUUCGAUGGAUCCAUCGCGUGAUGAAGGAUAUGGGCACCGACAUCGCCUGCUUCCGCCUCGGCGGCGUCCACGUCGUCCCGAUCACAUGUCCCAAGAUCGCAAGGGAGGUGCUCAAGAAGCAGGACAAAAACUUCUCGUCCCGCCCACUCACCUUCGCCUCCGGCGCCAUCAGCAGCGGGUACAAGGACGCCGUGCUCUCACCGUUCGGUGACCAGUGGAUGAAGAUGCGCAAGGUGCUCACCUCUGAGAUCAUCUGCCCCUCCCGUCACAAGUGGCUCCACGACAAGCGCGCCGACGAAGCUGACAACUUGACGCGCUACAUCUACAACCUCACCGCCCGGGGGUUGUCAUCUUCAACGUCGGGACUAGCCAACGUCAACGUCAGGCACGUCGCGCGGCAUUACUGCGGCAACGUCAUCCGCCGGCUUGUCUUCGGCCAACGGUACUUCGGGGAGCCUCAGCCGGACGGCGGGCCGGGGCCGAUGGAGGUGGAGCACAUGGACGCUUCCUUCGCCCUCCUAGGGUUCACCUUCGCGUUCUGCGUCAGCGACUACCUCCCGUGUCUACUUGGCCUAGAUCUCGACGGUCACGAGAAAAUUAUUAAGGAGACCAACACAAAAGUGGAUAGACUGCACGACGUGGUCAUCGAAGAGCGUUGGAGGUAGUGGAAUAGCGGCGAGAGGCAGGACGGGGUCCAGGACUUCCUUGACGUUCUCAUCACGCUCGCCGACGGUGACGGCAAGCCGUUGCUCAACAUCAAUGAGGUCAAAGCACAGUCCAAGGUAAGCAAAAUAUUAAUUAAUGAGAAAUUUUAAGAUGGCUCAAGGGCCUAGAUUGAAUUUAGUGACCAAUUGCCUCAUAGUCCUACAAAGUACUAAUACGUCAUCCAUGAGAAAAGGUAAUAGCUCACACUAUUAAAUACUAGAUCUUAUACCGUAUUUCGCAGGUGUUAGAAAAUGGAAACAAUAGAAUAUGAAAUUAUGAAUUAAUAGUUUAAACAUAGCAUUAUUGUAAUUUUCUACCAUUUUGAUGUGAUUUCAACUUAAAUUGUAUUUAAAUUUCCAAUUAUUCAAUGUAAUCUCUCUUUAUGCAAAGGUAUAAAUUGUAAUAACUUACAUUUAUCGCCAUGGAAUGCAUGCAGGGCAUAAUAUUAGCGUCCAUAGAUAACCCGUCAAACGCAGUGGAGUGGGCGCUGGCGGAGAUGGUGAACAACCCAGAAUUGCUGGCCAAGGCGGUGGAGGAGAUGGACCGGGUGGUCGGUCGCGAGCGACCGGUGCAAGAGUCGGACAUCAUGCAGCUCAACUAUCUCAAGGCGUGCAUACGUGAGGCAUUUCGCCUCCACCCAAUCGCUCCCUUCAACCUGCCGCACGUCGCGAUUGUCGACACCAUUGUUGCGGGCUACCGCGUGCCCAAGGGUAGCAACGUCAUCCUCAGCCGGCUGGCCCUGGGCCGGAACCCCACUGUCUGGGAUGAACCGCUCCGCUUCAAGCCGGAGCGCCAUAUGGGAGACAACAUCAAUGUGGUGCUUACUGAGAGCGAAUUGCGGUUCAUCUCCUUCAGCACCGGACGACGGGGAUGCAUCGCGACAUCACUAGGAACAACCAUGAGUGUCAUGCUCUUUGGCAGGCUCCUGCAUGGCUUCACCUGGACCAAACCGGCUGGGGUGUCGGCCAUCAAUCUCAGCGAGUCCAAGCACGACCUCUUCAUAGAGAAGCCGUUAGUGCUACAUGCUGAGCCACGUCUUCCAGUGCACCUCUACCCUCUCAUGCAUUAUUGAGCAAAUAACGAGCUACGAAUCACCGAUAUGGCGAGUAUGCUAGCUAUUUUUUUUGAUGAAUCUAUAUUUACUAAUAAAGGAAGGAAAUAUUCUUUUUUUCAUCCCGCUUUGUUUCGUUCCACUUUGAUUGAUUUUCACGUAUGCUAGCUAUUUUGGUUUUGUCUGUUUCACGUACGAGCGAGCCAGUUUCUUUCAUGCGCCGCUGGAUCGUCCUAGGCUUGUCCAAAGCAUUGGAACAGUACGUGAUAGGCAAACAACCACCCAUCUAGUAUUAAUUUUGGACAAAUAGAGAUUAAAUGUAUACAAGAUGAUGCUCUUUAUAUCACCAACGAAGGAUGAAAGUAGGUCGGCGCAUAUAGGGCAACUCCAUUUGAGUUGUUUCUUCCGGCCCAAGUCCCAGGCGGGGCAGCAUAGAAGAUGAGGUGAUAUCGAAAUAAAAAGUCCGGUUGAAAACAGACAGAUGGGCCGGCCUGUGAGUUUGGUCGAGUGUCACAAUGAGAGACGUAUUCAGAUGGGCAGCUAAACAGAAGCACGAGCCCACUUCAUCAUCAUAAAAUAAAGAAAACACGGCCGUCUUUCUUCGUCGCGAGCAGCCGCGACGUGAGAUGACCCGGGCGCCAUGGCCGACCCCUCGCUCCGUCCGGCAGGCCACGGAGCUCCACGCUGUCCUCACCGCCUCCGGCCGCCUCCUCAACCAGCCCUCCGCCGCGCACCUCCUCAACUCCCUCGCCAGCUGCAUUUCCCCCGGCGACCCGCUCCACCUCCGCUACGCGCUCAGCCUGUUCGACCGAAUGCCCUGCUCCACCUUCCUCUUCGACACCGCGCUCCGCGCUUGCUUCCGCGCCUCCUCGGGACCUGAGCACCCGUUCCUCCUCUACCGGCGUAUGCGCCGGGGGGGCGUGCCCCCCGACGCCUUCACGUUCCACUUCCUCUUCAAGUGCUGCUCCCGCGGCCGCGCGCACGUCCUCCUGUGCCGGAUGCUGCACGCCGCGUGCUUCCGUACCAUGCUUCCCUCUGCCGUGCCGCUCAUCGCGAGCCCUCUCAUCCAUAUGUACGCUGAGCUUGGGCUCCCCGGCGAUGCCCGGCGGGCUUUCGACGAGGCCUCUGUGAAGGACGCGGUUGCCUGGACGACGGUCAUCAGUGGGCUGGCCAAGACGGGGCUGCUCGAUGAUGCGCGGCGCCUUCUGGCGCAGGCUCCGGCGAGGAACGUGGUCGCUUGGACUGGUUUGAUCUCGGCAUACUCGCGUGCUGGCCGGGCCGCUGAUGCUGUGGAUUGCUUCAACCGCAUGCUUUCUGAUGGCAUUGCGCCGGAUGAGGUUACCGUGAUUGGCGUGCUCUCGGCAUGUGCUCAGCUGAAGGAUUUGGAUUUUGGAUGCUCGCUGCACAUGCUGGUUGGGGAGAGGAGGAUGUUGGUGAGUGACAGACUUGUAGUUGCGCUCAUCGACAUGUAUGCCAAGUGUGGUAACAUUGGCCGUGCAAGGGAGGUUUUUGAUGCUUUAGGUAGGGGCCGAGGACCCCAGCCAUGGAAUGCUAUGAUUGAUGGAUACUGCAAGGUAGGCCAUGUUGACAUUGCACGCUCUCUGUUUGACCAGAUGGAGGACCAUGACAUCAUCACAUUUAACUCGUUGAUCACUGGGUACAUCCAUGGUGGCCGGCUUAGAGAAGCGCUACUUCUUUUCACAAAGAUGAGGAGACAUGGUUUGCGUGCUGAUAAUUUUACCAUGGUGGGCCUUCUAACUGCUUCAGCAAGUUUAGGUGCAUUGCCACAGGGCAGGGCCUUGCACGCUUGCAUUGAGCAGAGGCUGGUGGAAAGAGAUGUUUACCUCGGUACUGCACUCUUGGACAUGUACAUGAAGUGUGGGAGGGUGGAAGAGGCGACUGUUGCUUUCAAACAGAUGAGUGUGAGAGAUGUUCACACUUGGAGCGCCAUGAUUGGAGGUCUCGCAUUCAAUGGGAUGGGUAUGGCUGCUCUGGAGCACUUCUUCUGGAUGAAGUGUGAUGGCUUUCAUGCCAAUUCAGUUACAUACAUUGCUGUUCUGACUGCAUGUAGUCAUUCAUGCCUACUGGAUGAAGGGCGUCUGUACUUCGACGAGAUGAGAUUGGUGCACAAUAUACGCCCCCAAAUUGAGCACUAUGGCUGCAUGAUAGAUUUGCUGGGCCGCAGUGGACUUCUGGAUGAAGCUAUGGAUAUUGUGCGGACCAUGCCAAUGCAGCCAAAUGCUGUGAUAUGGGGCUCCAUCUUGAGUGCUUGUAGAGUCCACAAGAAUGUUGACCUAGCUCGAAAUGCUGCAAAUCAUCUUCUGAAGCUAGAGCCAGCUGAGGAUGCUGUGUAUGUCCAGAUGUAUAACAUUUACAUUGAUUCUAGGCAAUGGGAAGAUGCAUCAAAAAUAAGGAGAUUGAUGGAAGAAAGGGGUGUGAAGAAGACUGCAGGUUACAGCUCGAUUGCUGUGGCUGGGCGGGUGCAUAAGUUUAUAGUUGGUGACCGAUCGCAUCCACGCAUAAUGGAGAUUAUUGUAAUGAUGGAGGAGAUUAGAUGCAGGUUAAAGUCAGUAGGAUAUUCACCUAUCACGUCGCAGAUAACAGUGGAUGUCGAUGAGGAAGAGAAAGAACAGGCACUUUUAGCACACAGUGAGAAAUUGGCCAUUGCAUUUGGCCUCAUCAGUCUAGCACCAAACCUGCCGGUUCAUAUCAUAAAGAAUCUCCGGGUCUGCGAGGACUGCCACUCUGCAAUCAAGUUGAUCUCAAGGCUUUGGAACCGGGAAAUCAUUGUUAGAGACCGGAGUCGGUUCCAUCACUUCAGGGGUGGAGCAUGUUCUUGCAAUGAUUUUUGGUGAUUAACGUUUUGUAAGGCGCUGGUCCUGGUGUAAAGCUUGAAGGAUGAGGAAACACUAAACAUAAUACUAUUCCAUCUUCAGAGUAGCUUUCAGGUCGUGAUUCCCAGUUGCCAAAGGUAUCCUCUGUUCUCUUCGAUGUGCCAUUUAAGUUAGAGUGAUUACACAUAUUCAUCUUCUGAGAGCACUGGCUACUUUAUCAGGAAAAGGUCAGUUGUGUCACACUGAUGAAUACCUACCAGUUGGCUCACUGGAAAUGAGCUCCUCUUCACAUGGUAACAUUCAUCACACACAUAGUCCAGGUGGAGAUCGAACUGAUGGAAGUGAAUGUUAUCCAUGUUCUUCUCGUGUAAUCUGUAUGGCUGCCCUUGUUUCCUGAUCUGCAGUUCUGUCACUUGUUGCCAUGUUAAUGAAAAGGCCAGCCCGGUGACUCCAAGGGUAAGUAAGCCGAAGUCAAUAGUCUAGGUGGGACAUAUAGACUACUGAACAGGCCUGCCCAGUAACUCUGGUGGUUUCUUUUCUGUGGCAUUUCAGGGUAAAAAAUGUAGACAAAGGAGGUGGCACAUCCACGGCACCCUGCAGCCAUGAUUCCAUGCUCGACGCUCGGUGAGGCAAAGUGGAAUUCCUAUGGCUUCCUUUCCCCAAGGUCUGGAAUUCACUUUUAUGGAGCUACGAAGCACAUGAUGAAAAUGUGCUGGGAAAGAGAGCUGCAAACAUGCUGAUAGAUGCUGGGAGAAGUCAAAAGGAGUGGUACCCAGGAGGAACUAGUCAUCAUCAAUAUUAUUAAGGUAGAGCUGUGGAUCGAACCAAGGCUGGCUAACCCAUCGACCAUGGUGCAAACCAGCAAGCCCCUGGGUGACUUCUCUAGAUGUUGGGGAAACAUCCAGACACCAUUUUGCAGGUAUCAAACUUCUUUUAAGAUGUUGUGGACAAGAAAAAUAAGUGCUGCAAGGAUGAAAGAGAUGCCAUGUGGGCAAAGAAGCCAAUAAGUGAAGGUCAGUGCCCAUAGCUUAACCAAGAUGAGACCUGUAGUUUAGUGCAUGAGAUCAAAACCAUAUCGGCGCCAUAGCCGGUUACUCUCUCGAGAUGCCAUUUCUCCCAACAGCAUAUCGUGAAUCUUCUUGUCAUCCUACCGAGCUGGCAAGAAUCUGAUCCUCGCACAAACCGCAUUAUUUUUCUUGCUGACCUCUCUUUAAUUAUUUAUAUGUCGGGACAUGCUCAAUGCUAGUUGUAUUCUGGAUUAGUUUGGGCCUCGAAUCUGAGCGGCCUGAUCUGAACACGUCACCUGCCAGUCAGACCAUUGAUUGUUCUGAACCUUGAUCAUUUCUUCCAUGUUUGACUCAGGGAUGAGAACUUCACUUGCCUUUAUACUUUUAGCCGUCUGUCCCGAUCUGGCUUCGCUGAAGUGUGGAGUUUCAACUUUCAACCCUUUAAUCUGGUUUCUGUGUUACUGAUUCAGGUGCCUGCCUGCCUGACCAUUGCAGGAAACUAUCGUCUGCUUCAGAUUGGGGUGCUUUGAGUUGAGCUGUUGAGGCACAAGUUGAAUGGGCUUGGUAGCGCAGGGAAGGGAAUCGGAUGGAGCAUUUCAGUGUGGUGGGGUACAGGGGCCGGUGCAGGAGGAUGGAUACAUCGCAGCAUCGCUGGCAAGUCCACUGCAGAAACUGGUGUGUCUGAAACAUAUAUAAUGCGCCUUUUGUGUACAUAUAUUUUAUUUAGGGAAAGCCUAUAUUUUGUUCUUCACCAACAAUCUGGUUUCUGUUUUACGGUGGUUGGAUCGGGCUGAUGAUCACGGGCCGAAUAUAGUGUGCAUUUGCUUGAUUGAACACUACACCGAUUAUUAUUAUUUUGACACUGAAACACAGAGGUGUAUGUGUUCUACUGCCUAUUUGCUGAAAGUACUUGCAUAUAACUAACCCUAGCAACAGUAACAUGCUUGGUCAAUCCAAACCCUUUCGAUAGUGUUUUCCCACUAUUAUUUAUUUACAGCGAUCUAUGAGAAUCUCCAGCCCACCAAAACUUUCUUUUUCCGGAGUAUGUUUGAGGGCACUGUAUUUGAUAGCAGAUUCCGUGCGAAAAGCCUCAUCACUAGCAGCAGAUUAGGAAUCCGGGCCCUCCUCCGGCCCGCUUUCUCCCCAUCCAGACCACACCACACCACACCACUUGCUCCGUCGCUCCUCCCCUUUCUUCUUCCCCACCCCCUUUCCGGCCCCCUUUUCCCAGCUCCUCGCAUAGCCAACAAGACCGGAUCGAUCAGCCCGAGCCCCCUGCGACUCCGCCGCCGUGCCGUCUCACCGCCGACGCCUCAGUCCCGCCCCCGCCCCCGCCUCAACGCCCGUCGCCGGUCCCGCUCUUCCUCGCCGGCGGCACGCCGCGCUCCUGCUGUCUACCCCCCACCCCGUCCCAGCCUCUAUCCCGCCGUUGGGUUUGAGGUAUGAGCUCGUGUCCAUCCCACGCUGGCCUUCGUGAUUUCUGGGUGCGUCGUCUAGAUCCGCCCCGGGUCUCACCCCCAAGCUUGGUUGCUUGUUCGGUUGUUCCUACCAGGGAGAGCGGAAGGGGCCGAGGAAGGGAUUAGGGCUGGAGCAGGGAGCGCGCAGGCGGCGACAUGUCGGGGGAGGACGUCCGCAAGGUCUCUCGCCAGGACAUACAGCUCGUCAGUAUCAUCAUUUCACAACUGACUAACACUACCUCUGCUCUGCUGCAUUCUCGUUCAUUUUUCUGCUGAUUCCUUUCCGUUCAAGCUAGCUGCGGCCUAGGUCAAUAUAUCAUGCGCGACAUGUGCUAUUGCUUGUUGAUGCUGAAACGCAAAGUAGCAGGCAACUGAUAUUUGUUUUUUUUUUGCUUGUGGGUUGGGGAGCUGACUUUUCAUGGCUCUUGUUUCGGCAUAUGUGAUAGUUAAAAUUAGUAAGUGGUUGCUUGCAUGUAUCGAUGACUCAUGUUGCUAGUAACUGCUGGUGCAGGUCCAGAAUCUCAUCGAGCGCUGUCUCCAGCUGUAUAUGAACCAGAAAGAAGUGAUUGAUACCCUCUCCCUUGAGGCCAAGAUAGAACCGAGCUUUACUGAACUUGGUAAUGGUCUUUACUUUAUACGCUCAGAAAUAUCUUUAGCCUAGUAGCUAUGAGCUCCCAGGAUUGGUAAACAACAUCAUAGUUCAUAUAUGUAAUUGGACGGAUGGCUGAAACCGUGGGCAGUUUCUGGUUUGCACAGAAUAAAUCAAUGCUUUUGGUACAAACCAUGUCUCCAGUGUUGCGUCAAGAAUUGUUAUAUGAUGGCUAGAUAAAUCUUCUGUUUUUAAAAUAAACCUGGCAGAAAAUGUUCAGUUCCCCUCCUUUUGACCUCUCAGAAUUCAUUAGCAUAAUUCUGUAACAUAAUGGAAACAUCUUGCAAACCACAAUAUGUUCUCUUCAUUUGUGCCUCCUUAUGUAUUUAUGCCAACAGAAAUAUUUCCUAGUUCCCAUUUGUGCCUUGAAAUUGUGCAACUUGACGACACAACAUAAGCACUAGCAGAAUGCUUGUGUAGAUGUAGAAGAUUCAGUUGAUAGGCUCAUAAUGUGGACUUUGUUGGCAAAUAACACAAACAAGACAUCAUGUAUUCAUGUUCAACAUCCCAAUUGUUUGAAGAUUGAUUUGCAUGAGCUGCUUUGUGCUGAAGGUUUACCAGUGGACUGUAGCUCCAUUAGCAUGAUAACAGACCUACUAAGUAGCGUACAUGUGAAAAUGUUUGAACAUGUUAAGUGGAACUGGCAUGGAUAAAAUUCCCCGAACUUCAUGAGCAUUCUCUUUCAUCCCUCCAAAAUAUUAAAUCUCAUUCUAUCUCGUAAGUCCUCAAACUUAUGGCAUCAGUUCACCUGGGUCCCUGUACUCUCGAAGUGCACUUCAAUGCCCCUAAUGUGGAAUAAUUUGCUAAUUAGCCAUCCCAAUCCCACUUCUGUGUCUUCUUUUGUCAAUGUGACUCACCUGGUGAAAGAUAUAGCGCCCAUGUUUUUUGCAAAGUUGCUGAAAACCCUUCUGGCCUACAUAAAGGUCAUCAAAGCCUUCUCUUUGACCCCGUUCUGUGUUGGAGCUUUAGUUUGACUUAGGUGAGUGAAUCAAAGACUGUUUCCUUAACCACCAAUAGGCAGCACACCUGGUUUAUUAGGACCACUCAUUUAAAAUGUUCAGGAAAUCGCUAACUGGUAACUGCUCGGCCGGCUGGCAUGUAGGGGUUUAAUAGGUGAAUCAGCCAGUUAUGCUGAUAAAUCAGUAAAUCGGCUACUUGGUGGCCCACUGAACAGGGAUUAAUUGGCCAGUUAACUGAUCUGUCAGCGAAUAUUUUGUACACCGCUCAUUUUCAUUACAAUUGCUAGUGAAGUUUGAGUGGAAAUACAACAUUCAGUUUUAGUAAAGAUAGAUCAUUAAGUAAUUGGUAACAUAUAGCCUGUUUGUGGAACACAAGUCACAAAAUAUGAAUCAUAGCAUCAACUUUGUAAGUUCUAACAAGCUGCCCGUGACUUUCUGAACUGGCAAUAGGAUUUUGUUACUGAAAAUGCAUGUGUAACUACCAAGCAGUGGGACACAAAGCUCCAUAUCAAUCUAAUACUUAAAAAUAUUUGCCAAGCCAAUUAUGGGCAUAGUUUUUAUGCCGUAGUGAAUCUUGUGGUGACCGACUUUGCUCAUAACUCUUAACACUUAUGGCAUAUGACGAGGCGACAUCAUAGACAUGUCCUGACUUUGUGUGGUAGCAAAUUAGAUCACUACAUAGAAAAACCUAACUUUAUAUGACAAGUUGAUAACAAGUUAAUUCACUAAUUGAGUUGUACAUGACUAUACCUUGUUGUUGGCCAUGUAGCACACACUGUCUUCUUUCCACUUGCACCACUAAAGUAUAUGCUAAAUGUGUUCAGUUCACAACUCUACAUGGCAAUUAGCAAUGAGCAAGAUUAAAUAAGCAGAGAAGAUGCACUGCACUAGCCACUGCCCACAGAUAUACUAGCAGUACAUGUGGAUUGCAAUGAGCAAGAUUAAAUAAUCAAAGGCAGUAAGAUUAAAGUAUGCACUGUAUUUCUACAUAUAUAUUAGUCACAACAUGUACAGAACAGAAGAGCUUUGCAGAAAAAGAAACAGAGCAUAUCCCAGCAGAGGAGGAGGGCAUCACAGCAUAGGGGAAGAAGAGAGACGGGGAGGAAGAGGCAGGAAGAAGACAGGGGAGGAGGAGGAGGGAGGGCUAGCUUACCUCGCCGGAGUUGGCGCUGAAGCUGGCUGGAGAGGUGUGCUGCACCUGCAUCGAUCUGUGGAUCAGUGGAUGGGGAUGGAAGGAGGUGGCGCUGAUGCUCGCCUCCGUCCUGGAGCUGGGCGGAGAAGUGACAGACGGGAAGACACGCCUCCGACCUGGAACUGGGCGGAACUGGAUGGGGGAUGGUGGAAAUAGAUGUGCGGGCCGCCACAGCAAGGUCAGAGAGAAGCCCAAUGGCCGAUUCUCUCUCUCUCUCUCUCUCUCUCUCUCUCUCUCUGGCCAGAGAGAAGGAUGAUUCCCUGCCAUCCUGGCUAUUUCUCGUACCUGGCUGCUAUUUCCCUCCCACCCCUGCUUCCACUUUCCAUGCACUCUGCUCGUGUCGUCGGAAAUCGCAUAAGACGACUCCAACCUCGCCACUUUGAUUGCAAAUAGACACCAUGCCUCUGUGGCGGACGCCACAGGCAUGUUUUGUUGCGAGGGUCACCGUCUUGGCCUUGACAGGCACCACACCGGUAUUAUCCUUGUUAUGGUGACGAGAUGGGAUGCCAUAAUACUAUGAUUAUGGGUGGUAUGUAACUGUAUAUCGCAGUUCUGCUGUAUAAAACAAAACGAACUUCUGUAGUUUUGAAUGUGUUGGUGCAACCUUCGAUUGCACAUGUUUGGCAUGAAAUCGCCUCAUUGGUCCGUUAAGGACAUGAUUUAUGGCACACCAGGGACCUAAUAUGCACUUUGGGGGUACACGAACCUAGACGAACCACCCCACAACUUCAAGGAUCCCCUCGUAUAUUGCACCCUUCGUAGAAAUGUGUGUUUCUUCUGUUGUUAUUCUCCUUAAUGUUUUGUUCUUACUCUGUUCUUUCCAGUUUGGCAAAAACUUGAGGAAGAGAACCGUGAAUUUUUUAAGGCAUACUAUUUGAGGCUGAUGCUUAAGAAUCAAAUAACGGCCUUCAACAAGCUUCUUGAGGAUCAGUUCCAGCUUAUGAACAAAGACUAUUCUUCAGGGAUCCCUUCUAUGCCUCUUACUAAUGGCUCCAACUCCACAACAUGUAAGACAUUUUUUUCCUCCCAGCUUUAGAGCUUUCUGUGGUGUCUCUUUGUCUUUAUCUGGUGUGAUAAUGUAAUUCUCUCUCACCAUUUAAGUAAUGUAGAAACAAGUGGAAAGUAGUCUCUAACUUACUCAAGAAGUUUAUGUUUACUUUGUCAAAGUGGUAUUGCUGCUCAAGAGGGCUAUGUUUGUUGCCUCUGCUUUCCAUGUUGUAUUGACUUGCUGAUCAAUAACAUUUUAACAUGGUCUGCUAUUUUCCUUGUUUCAGUGAAGCAAAACUUGUGCUUUUUACCAGAGUCUGGUCCCAUAUCUGCAAUGCCAAAUGGUGUGAUGCGCAAUGGAAGUUCAGGUGGUUUAGUAAAUGGAACAUCAUCUGGUGAUCAUUCAAUUUAUGGUGGUAAAGACAUUCAUGGUCCUCAUAGUAGCAUGGAUGCUUCAACCAACGUGCUACCAGCCCAAAAUGCAUCUGCUCUGCUGUAUGGUGCAGAUAAUAAUGGUACAACAAUAAAGACAGAGUCAAGCUAUUCGAGCAACGCUGAUUUUGCUUUCUGUGGGAACGCUUUCCUUGAAUCAUGCCAAUCAAUUGGCGAUGCCUCGGGUGGUUCCUUUAGCAGCUCAGAUUUGAACGGGCAACCACUGAAUGAUGCACUUUUGGAUAUGGAGUCAUCGUCAUUUGGCUUCUUGAGCCAGAUUCCCCGGAAUUUCAGUUUUUCAGACUUAACAGAGGGGUUCAAUCAAAAUACAGGUACAUUAAUAGGAGAGAGUUUUCCAUUGCUUUGUUUUUUUAGUACCUUUUCACCUAAAGUCUAUUGGCUGUAUACAUUAUUUGUUUACCAUUUUGUUGUCUGCAGAAGUAUUAGAGAAUUAUGGCAGGUCGCCAUUUCUCUCAUCUGAGCCAAAUAACUUCUCAGAUUCUACAGGUGGAGAACAUACAGGUAAUCCAUUUUCGUCCAGUCUUCUUUUCCAGAGCCAGCCAUGAGUUAUAUUAGCGCAUGCCACCACCUCCACUGUAAUUACUUCUUUUUUUUUUCGAAAAUUGAGAGGCCCCGGGUCCUCUUGCAUUAGUUUGGUGCCUGCGACUGUCUGUGCAUGCUUGAUGUGUAUUUUUCAGUUAUUAUACAUGCUGUGGGUGCAUGUUAGCAGUGUGCUAUUACAGCUAUUAGACACUUCUUAUGAGAGAACUAAUUUAAUCAACUGAAGUUCUUCUCCCUUGUAUUUUCUUAUGCUGUGUCUGCAGGCUGAGCAGCUACCCACCUUUUUGUACAUAUUCAUGGAGAACUUGAGCAACUUUCAUGCUAGCCUUUUCCCUUAUCAGUUCCGAUGUCUUGUAAUGUAGAGUAUGGGAUGAGUUGUAACUUGAUCAAAAGAUGCAGCAGAUCUGGCCCCCGGUCGCUUGCCGAAGGUAUUGUAGUUGUGCCCUGCCUUGUACAUUGGUGUUGUGCUGUAAGAUCAGCAUUAGUAGCUGUGAUGUUAAAUUUGCUGGGUUAAUGGGUUAUGUUCUUGUCUGGCAUGUACAACAGAAGUUUAUUAAUUUCAAGUGAAUGCUGACGAGAGAGUUUGAUUUGUGAUGGCUAUGGUCAGGAACUUAGCAUGAACAUACAUCAGUUUCAUAUAUGCGCCACAUCGGAAUCUCGGUGCGAAAACACGCAUGAAUAUGUUGCAAACAGGCACUAGAGAGACAUAGAGAAACUUUUUAUUUUUGCUUAAUAUCCUAAUACACUGCAAACAAUUUCUUGACACGAACAGUGUCUUACAUCUCAACAAGGGGAAGAAAAACAGCGGGAAUUGUGAUUCUAACAGAUUGUUCUUCCGUCGAAGCCGUGGUUAUGAUAGAAUCGAUACAUGUAUCAGUGGCAUGGAGAACAACAUCAAGCCAGCGCUUGAAGGAAAACAUCAUCUCCAGGUAGGUAGGUAGGUAUGUACUCGUCAGACAGCAAUUCAGUUGUCUCGGAAAAUUCAG
Molecule: long non-coding RNA, 14651 nt
Filed under: Triticum aestivum (bread wheat)
Lineage: Eukaryota; Viridiplantae; Streptophyta; Magnoliopsida; Poales; Poaceae
Description: long non-coding RNA (TAES_LNC018301)
Source: RNAcentral